This 1372-nucleotide ribosomal RNA is filed under the name 'Plantago major' phytoplasma. RNAcentral describes it as "bacterial SSU rRNA". It matches the Rfam family "Bacterial small subunit ribosomal RNA", at positions 134 to 1501 of the family's 1533-position model. The record is from RNAcentral. Lineage: Bacteria; Bacillati; Mycoplasmatota; Mollicutes; Acholeplasmatales; Acholeplasmataceae. RNAcentral also lists the same sequence under 2 other names.
AAGACGAGGAUAACAGUUGGAAACGACUGCUAAGACUGGAUAGGAGACAAGAAGGCAUCUUCUUGUUUUUAAAAGACCUAGCAAUAGGUAUGCUUAGGGAGGAGCUUGCGUCACAUUAGUUAGUUGGUGGGGUAAAGGCCUACCAAGACUAUGAUGUGUAGCCGGGCUGAGAGGUUGAACGGCCACAUUGGGACUGAGACACGGCCCAAACUCCUACGGGAGGCAGCAGUAGGGAAUUUUCGGCAAUGGAGGAAACUCUGACCGAGCAACGCCGCGUGAACGAUGAAGUAUUUCGGUACGUAAAGUUCUUUUAUUAGGGAAGAAUAAAUGAUGGAAAAAUCAUUCUGACGGUACCUAAUGAAUAAGCCCCGGCUAACUAUGUGCCAGCAGCCGCGGUAAUACAUAGGGGGCAAGCGUUAUCCGGAAUUAUUGGGCGUAAAGGGUGCGUAGGCGGUUAAAUAAGUUUAUGGUCUAAGUGCAAUGCUCAACAUUGUGAUGCUAUAAAAACUGUUUAGCUAGAGUAAGAUAGAGGCAAGUGGAAUUCCAUGUGUAGUGGUAAAAUGCGUAAAUAUAUGGAGGAACACCAGUAGCGAAGGCGGCUUGCUGGGUCUUUACUGACGCUGAGGCACGAAAGCGUGGGGAGCAAACAGGAUUAGAUACCCUGGUAGUCCACGCCGUAAACGAUGAGUACUAAACGUUGGGUAAAACCAGUGUUGAAGUUAACACAUUAAGUACUCCGCCUGAGUAGUACGUACGCAAGUAUGAAACUUAAAGGAAUUGACGGGACUCCGCACAAGCGGUGGAUCAUGUUGUUUAAUUCGAAGGUACCCGAAAAACCUCACCAGGUCUUGACAUGCUUCUGCAAAGCUGUAGAAACACAGUGGAGGUUAUCAGUUGCACAGGUGGUGCAUGGUUGUCGUCAGCUCGUGUCGUGAGAUGUUGGGUUAAGUCCCGCAACGAGCGCAACCCUUAUUGUUAGUUACCAGCACGUAAUGGUGGGGACUUUAGCAAGACUGCCAGUGAUAAAUUGGAGGAAGGUGGGGACGACGUCAAAUCAUCAUGCCCCUUAUGACCUGGGCUACAAACGUGAUACAAUGGCUGUUACAAAGGGUAGCUGAAGCGCAAGUUUUUGGCGAAUCUCAAAAAAACAGUCUCAGUUCGGAUUGAAGUCUGCAACUCGACUUCAUGAAGUUGGAAUCGCUAGUAAUCGCGAAUCCAGCAUGUCGCGGUGAAUACGUUCUCGGGGUUUGUACACACCGCCCGUCAAACCACGAAAGUUGGCAAUACCCAAAGCCGGUGGCCUAACUUCGCAAGAAGAGGGAACCGUCUAAGGUAGGGUCGAUGAUUGGGGUUAAGUCGUAACAAGGUAUCC